GAACCACGUAAGGAGGUAGUCUCUUUUGUCUCGCGGAGCUGUGAAUACACGAUGCGUAUACACAAUGGUCCCUGCUAAGGAUACCGCCGUGUACUCUGCCGUGUAGGCAGGUGAGAAAGUACGAAGAAAGAGAAAGAGAAAUCUGGAGAUCGAACCGACGGCGGGCCGCGCGGCAGAAUGCCUCUCGGAUAUCCUCGUAUAGGCGUCACGGGUAUAGCAAUCGCGUGGCUUACAAGGCAAGCCUAACGAGCGUUUCUAAGAGCCUUCGUCGGAGAGAUGUUUUCUCAAGAUUAGAAGCAGAGGCGAGCAGUGUCGCAGAGCUGAUGGCUGCAACGUUAUCACCGUAAUGGACGGCUGGCCCACAAAAGUUUAACAUCAACAGAUACCACCAAGGCAAGCAGACUUUCGUUUGUGAUUCGCAAGAAUCACGGUCGCAAAAAUAUGAGCGUACUGACCGCAAACUAGAACCUGAGCACUCCAUUUGCAAAUAUUCCUCGAGUUCUUGGAAGCUUCCAAAGGCUCUUAAAAAGAAACGACCACAGUAGGGCAAGACGUUUUGCAAAGUGUUUGUUCUUCGUCCUGGAUUCGAAUCUAAAAGAUUAAAAAAAUAGCCUGUAUAGCAAAAUGUGUUUAAGAAUAUUGUUAUAAUGGCCGGUGCUUGCAUAUACACCCUAAUAUACAUAAAUAUCAUAAAAUAUUAGGUUGACAACUAAGUGAUCGCGGGAUUUGUCAAUACCACCUAAUGACAAAAUCCGCAAUCACUUAGUUGCCAGCU
This 775-nucleotide unclassified non-coding RNA is filed under the name Bombus terrestris (buff-tailed bumblebee). RNAcentral describes it as "misc RNA ENSBTSG00005023836.1". Lineage: Eukaryota; Metazoa; Arthropoda; Insecta; Hymenoptera; Apidae. The record is from RNAcentral.